Molecule: transfer RNA, 70 nt
Filed under: Sinanodonta tumens
Lineage: Eukaryota; Metazoa; Mollusca; Bivalvia; Unionida; Unionidae
Description: tRNA-Gln
Source: RNAcentral
UGAGAGCUGGUGAACCUGUGACACAAAUGAAUUUGGAUCAUUAGAAGGAAUUAAAAAUUCCGCUUUCAAA